CGUGAGAUGUUUGGGUUAAGUCCCGCAACGAGCGCAACCCCUAUUGUUAGUUGCCAUCAUUCAGUUGGGCACUCUAGCGAGACUGCCGGUAAUAAACCGGAGGAAGGUGGGGAUGACGUCAAAUCAUCAUGCCCCUUAUGACCUGGGCUACACACGUGCUACAAUGGUUGGUACAACGAGUUGCGAGUCGGUGACGGCAAGCUAAUCUCUUAAAGCCAAUCUCAGUUCGGAUUGUAGGCUGCAACUCGCCUACAUGAAGU
Molecule: ribosomal RNA, 260 nt
Filed under: uncultured bacterium
Lineage: Bacteria
Description: partial 16S ribosomal RNA
Rfam family: Bacterial small subunit ribosomal RNA
Source: RNAcentral